Anopheles bellator is the source of this 1731-nucleotide RNA transcript. It is a transcript of the gene named ubiquitin-like protein 5, with no coding region annotated. The record is from RefSeq and is a predicted model, not a curated record. NCBI's taxonomy places the organism in Eukaryota, Metazoa, Arthropoda, Insecta, Diptera, Culicidae. The transcript has 6 exons.
UAACAUUUUUUGCCAAAAUUGUGUUUAAAUGUAAAGAUGAAGCGUGAUUAAUUUGAUUUCCUUUUUCCUUUUGUAGGUAACUGGUUGUAACAGAAUUCACUUCAUCAGCUUCACGCAAUCUCACAACCGUUCGGAUUCCAACGAUGCCCAUGGUAACAUUUUUCCAUGGCCAUAAUUGUGUUAAAAUAUGUAAAGACUAAGCGCGUUUGAUUUGAUCCUUUUUUCCUUUUGUAUGUAACUACUGUAACGGAAUUGCACGUAACUUCAUGCAAUCUCACAGUAUUUCGGAUUCCAACGGAGCUCAGAGAAUUGUGGGUGUUGGAAAAUUUUCAAUCCCUUGGACAACCAAUCAAAUUAGAUGUUUUAUUAUUAUUCUAGUAAUUGAACAUCCACUAUUCACCAAGCUUACAUAUUCACUCACAAUGUACCGUAUUGCAUGCUGUAUAAGUCGUACUUUUUAUCCGUUUUUGUGAGUCUUUAAAAUCUCCUGCGACUUAUACAUGAAGCAUCCAUGCUCCUCAAACAGAACUGUUGAGAUGAAAAAACACGUUAAAGACAAAUGGAAAUGAAAAAAGUCGAUUUACAGCUGUGCUUUGUUGUCUGCCAGACGGUACAAAACUCAAGCCUCAAACAAAAUACAACAAACCUUUGGCAUCCGACAACCGAUUAGGAUUGCGAUAAGGCCUCCGCGAGGUAAAGGAACUGCCAUUGCAUGCGGCAUCAUCCAUGAUACAUAGUUUUCAUUUAGAUACAUUCCAUGAUAUCCAUGAUACAUUUAGUCGAUGGAUGUGAGAAAUAAAUACGGCCCAGUCCGUUCUUAAUGAUUGUAAAUAAAUCGCGAUUAAUAAAAACAAGUCAUUCAAUUUGAUGUGAUCGAUUCCGACGAGCCAACAUUGAGUGCGCCGUCGAAGAAAUCGAAGUAAGCCGAAUGCUUGGCAGCUCUCUUGCUAUAGGCAGAGGGAGCCAACCGGAAGGGAAAAUAAAAAUAAAACCUAGUAAAAUCUCAGCUGUCAUCGUUGACGGUUCAUCGUUCUGUUUAGUUUAUUUUGGAUGCGAAAUUAAUCCGUUUGUAGUUUUCGACCAAGCAUUCAGCAACAUAAACCCGCGAAAAAAUGUUGGAAAUCACCUGUAAUGACCGGCUCGGCAAAAAGGUUCGGGUAAAGUGCGAUCCAGAAGAUACAAUCGGUGACUUGAAAAAGUUGAUCGCCGCCCAGACCGGAACGCGCUCCGAUAAAAUCGUGUUGAAGAAAUGGUACACAAUCUACAAGGACAACAUCAAGCUUGCUGACUAUGAAAUCCACGAUGGGAUGAACUUAGAGCUAUACUAUCAAUGAGAUUCGUCUCCCGUACCUACACAAUGGAUAAGUUUCGUUUUUCAUGCAGCAGGCAAAUUCGGAGGAUAUACCGGGAAGUUGAUCCUCUGACGAGAGGGCGAGAAUCUGCGGUCUGCAAACGAUACGUACGGAAACUUUAAUGACACAGUCAUAAAAACAUGACAUACAUCAGUCGGUCAUAUCGCACCAUCGCACCGAAAUUGAGUAGAAGCCACGCAACAUGAAAUUGCGUUCGAUCCAUGGAUUUGAAUAUAACAAAAGUAGUGUCAUUUUUAGCAGAACAACUCACAAACCUACGAGUAGUGAUUAUGAUUGAAUUUUAACAACUCUCUUUUGAUGCCCACGUGUGACGAACGUGAAGACGUAAACUAGCUCAUUUAUUUAUUUUUGAAAACAG